GCGGGCUUACCCAGCAGGAAGUCCGGGCUUGCUGGCUGUGUUGAUAAAGGGCCUGUAGCUGGAGUUCCCGGUUGGGUCCUGGUCUGCUCUUUCCCCAGUCUCUUUCUGGGCUCUGCCCCGGCCCGGCACACUUGGGGCGAGGCGGCGGCGACUCUCUGCUCGCCGCCAUGCACGACGCUUUCGAGCCAGUACCGAUCCUAGAAAAGCUGCCUCUGCAGAUCGACUGUCUGGCUGCCUGGGAGGAAUGGCUUCUUGUGGGAACCAAACAAGGACAUCUUCUUCUCUACAGGAUUCGGAAGGAUGUUGGUUGCAACAGGUUUGAAGUAACACUAGAGAAAUCCAAUAAGAACUUCUCCAAAAAGAUCCAGCAGAUCCAUGUGGUUUCCCAGUUUAAGAUUCUGGUCAGCUUGUUAGAAAACAAUGUUUAUGUCCAUGACCUUUUGACAUUUCAACAAAUCACUACAGUUUCAAAGGCAAAGGGAGCAUCACUGUUCACAUGUGACCUGCAGCACACAGAGACUGGUGAGGAGGUGUUGCGGAUGUGUGUGGCAGUGAAAAAGAAGCUGCAGCUCUAUUUCUGGAAAGACAGGGAAUUUCAUGAAUUGCAGGGGGACUUUAGUGUACCAGAUGUGCCCAAAUCCAUGGCAUGGUGUGAAAAUUCUAUCUGUGUGGGUUUCAAGAGAGACUACUACCUGAUAAGGGUGGAUGGAAAGGGGUCUAUCAAAGAGCUCUUUCCAACAGGAAAACAGCUGGAGCCCUUAGUUGCACCUCUGGCAGACGGAAAAGUAGCUGUGGGUCAGGAUGAUCUCACCGUGGUGCUCAACGAGGAGGGGAUCUGCACACAGAAAUGUGCCCUAAACUGGACAGACAUACCAGUGGCCAUGGAGUACCAGCCUCCCUACAUCAUCGCAGUGUUGCCUCGAUAUGUGGAGAUCCGAACGUUUGAGCCGAGGCUCCUGGUCCAGAGCAUUGAACUGCAAAGGCCCCGUUUCAUUACCUCAGGAGGAUCAAACAUUAUCUAUGUGGCCAGCAAUCAUUUUGUUUGGAGACUCAUUCCUGUCCCCAUGGCAACCCAAAUCCAACAGCUUCUCCAGGACAAGCAGUUUGAAUUGGCUCUGCAGCUUGCAGAAAUGAAAGAUGACUCUGACAGUGAAAAGCAGCAACAAAUCCAUCACAUCAAGAACUUGUACGCCUUCAACCUCUUCUGCCAGAAGCGUUUUGAUGAGUCCAUGCAGGUCUUUGCUAAGCUUGGCACAGAUCCCACCCACGUGAUGGGCCUGUACCCCGACCUGCUGCCCACAGACUACAGGAAGCAGUUGCAGUAUCCAAACCCAUUGCCCGUGCUCUCGGGGGCUGAACUGGAGAAGGCUCAUUUAGCCCUGAUCGACUACCUGACACAGAAAAGAAGUCAACUGGUAAAGAAGCUGAAUGACUCUGACCACCAGUCUAGCACCUCCCCGUUGAUGGAAGGCACCCCCACCAUCAAAUCCAAGAAGAAGUUGCUGCAAAUCAUCGACACUACCCUGCUCAAGUGCUACCUCCAUACAAAUAUGGCCCUAGUGGCCCCCUUGCUGCGCCUGGAGAACAAUCAUUGCCACAUCGAGGAAAGUGAGCACGUGCUGAAGAAGGCUCACAAGUACAGUGAGCUAAUAAUCCUGUAUGAGAAGAAAGGGCUCCACGAGAAAGCUCUGCAGGUGCUGGUAGACCAGUCCAAGAAAGCAAACUCCCCGCUGAAAGGCCACGAGAGGACAGUGCAGUAUCUGCAGCAUCUGGGCACAGAAAACCUACAUUUGAUUUUUUCCUACUCAGUGUGGGUACUGAGAGACUUUCCAGAAGAUGGCCUGAAGAUAUUUACUGAGGAUCUCCCAGAAGUGGAAUCUCUGCCACGCGAUCGAGUGCUCAGCUUCUUAAUAGAAAACUUCAAGGGUCUGGCUGUUCCUUAUCUGGAACACAUCAUCCACGUUUGGGAGGAGACGGGCUCUCGGUUCCACAACUGCCUGAUCCAGCUGUACUGUGAGAAGGUCCAAGGCCUGAUGAAGGAGUAUCUCCUGUCAUUUCCUGCAGGCAAAACUCCAGUCCCUGCUGGAGAGGAAGAGGGUGAGCUGGGAGAAUACCGGCAGAAGCUCCUUAUGUUCUUGGAGAUUUCCAGCUACUAUGAUCCAGGCCGACUCAUCUGUGACUUCCCUUUUGAUGGCCUCUUAGAAGAACGAGCUCUCCUGUUGGGGCGCAUGGGGAAACAUGAACAAGCUCUCUUCAUCUAUGUCCACAUCUUAAAAGAUACAAGGAUGGCUGAGGAGUACUGCCACAAACACUAUGACCAAAACAAAGAUGGCAACAAAGAUACAGGUGUAUCUAUCCCUGCUUCGGAUGUACCUGUCACCUCCCAGCAUUCACUGCCUGGGGCCCAUCAAGUUGGAACUGCUGGAGCCACAGGCCAACCUCCAGGCUGCCCUGCAGGUCCUCGAGCUGCACCACAGCAAACUGGACACCACCAAGGCCCUCAACCUUCUGCCAGCAAACACUCAGAUCAAUGAUAUACGCAUCUUUCUAGAAAAGGUCUUGGAGGAAAAUGCACAAAAAAAACGGUUCAAUCAAGUGCUCAAGAACCUUCUCCAUGCGGAGUUCCUGAGGGUCCAGGAAGAGCGGAUUUUACACCAGCAGGUGAAGUGCAUCAUCACAGAGGAGAAGGUGUGCAUGGUGUGUAAGAAGAAGAUUGGAAACAGUGCAUUUGCCAGAUACCCCAAUGGAGUGGUCGUGCACUACUUCUGUUCCAAAGAGGUAAACCCAGCUGACACCUGAGUCCAGCAUCCCAAGGAUUUAGCAGAUGGACAGCUUGGCUCUCCUGGAGAGAGGAAGGAGCAGCUGGCCUUAGAAUCGUGGGCUGCCACCACCAGGUGCCUCCGCAUUUGGACGCUACCAGCUAUCUUGCAUCCUGGACCAUCUCCGAAUUAUUUAGACUUGUGGUCUGGCAUUGCCAGAUUUUUAAUAGAAAAAGAGAUUAGUAAUACCUUAUACCAUUAUGUUGUGGGCAAUUCCAGAGAAUUGAGAACCUGCUUAGACAAGAAGACGUGCACCAUCUUGCCUUUGCAUACCAGUUACCAGAAUGAGACGGUAUGUCUCGAGUGUUUGAAACCACAGAGUUGCUUAUCAGGAGUUUUUCUGUUAGACAAGCACACGACUUCACAAGGACCCCUCAGCGUGGUUGACUGGAGGGUCAUGUAAGGGGACAGCACUUGAGCUAUUCCGGCCACAUAGACAGAAGGACUCAUUUUCUGUUUAGUGCAGGAGUGUCUCCGUGGCAGCCAUGCCCUGUGUCCCCCACUAGCCUCCCUGCACACUGCAUUGGUUUCCACUCUUUUUUCUCACUGUUUAUCGUUCCCUCUCGCUGCCCCAUCUACACCUUCCCUCCCACUUCCGUUACUCCAGGAGUAGCUAGUAUGUAAACAAGGUAAAGUGAGAAGCAAGAGGAAGUCUCAGUUCCUAGGAAUCCACUGCUGGUUGGUUGCCGGGUACAUUGUAAAUAGUCCUCUUUACCCUAUAUGCCUAGACACUGAGGAGUGCCGUUCUCUGCCUGCCUACCUGCCCUCGGGCCAAGUGUGACAGCCCGUGAGGAUGGGCCACCACUGCCCUGGGUAUGCCAGCCCCUAGGCCCAGGCCCCGUAGAGGUGCCUGUUCUGCUUCACUCACCAGCGCUCGGGCGGGUUGGUUUUGUCUCUGUGAGUGGAAUGCUUUGUGCUUUGGGCACCUUUCCCUUUUUCCAGCCAGUUUGUUCACUUGCCUUACCGCUUUAUAGCGAUUACUCCACAGCUUUGUUCUGCAGGGGUUGGAGGAUUACACUGGGAUAGUGAGGAAGGUAGGUCUCCGCUACACACAGAGGCAGAGUGGAGCAGGGACUGACAACGAGUGACGCCAAGUGUGCUGCUGGGGUGUUCGGGGACAGCAGGGAGAGUGCAGGAGGGCAGACGCAGUGGCACUCGGGUUUAUAAAGUAUCUCACUGUCAAACCCUGCAGUGAACUCUGCCAGAGGUUCACAGGCUGGAGAGGUCUGCAGGCUGGGGUCGUGUGGGAUAUGGGCCUGUAUCCUGUCCUCCUGGCCUUUUCACAGGCUCCCAGUCUUGUUGCCCCAGCAUCUUCAGGGGGUGUGAGGGUGAGUAACACCCACAGUUUUAGUGGCCUGUCCCUGAUGUGCCUUGUCCCUUGUAAACUGUGGCACUGUGCUGUGUUACAAGCCAACUUACCAGUGGUAAGUAGACUGGGCUCCCCCAGGCUUCUGUCUGUGAGGCUCUGAAGAGAGUGAGUGCCAUCAGCACCAUUUGCAGACAUGGAGGACUCUGCUCGGGUAUGUGAGGCUGGGCAGCACUUGGCAAGAGUUCUGUGGAACUGUGUGUAUGUGUGUCUGCGUAGAUAGAAAGCCGCCGUCCGACUGGCCAUACGCACCCCCAGGAAGCAGUACUGCCCGUGGCCACGUCUGUGCCAGCUGGGACUGCGCUGCCCCUGGGAGCAGUAGGGGAGCUCUGGGCCCAGCCCCUACUGCACGGCAGAGACUCACCCGCCACCCAUCCUGCUUUCCUGGCCUGCUGUGCUGUGUCGUCUUUUCUCAUGAACUAUGUUUGAAGCAAUAGAAUGAGGAAAAUGUGUUUUCUUCCCUUCUGGUGUACGAACACGACCCCAUUUUCCCAGACUCCAUUCUUCCUUCCCUGGACUCUGCCCUCCACAGUGGUAUGGAGAAGGCUGAAAUGAAAGCCCUCUAAUGAAGACAGAUGAAGGUACCUUAACUAUUCCUCAGAAUAAACCUAAUGAAACAA
Molecule: RNA transcript, 4805 nt
Organism: Otolemur garnettii (small-eared galago)
Lineage: Eukaryota; Metazoa; Chordata; Mammalia; Primates; Galagidae
Gene: VPS39
Gene name: VPS39, HOPS complex subunit
Exons: 25
Source: RefSeq, a predicted model, not a curated record